UACGGAGGGUGCAAGCGUUAUCCGGAUUCACUGGGUUUAAAGGGUGCGUAGGCGGGUUGGUAAGUCCGUGGUGAAAUCCCCAAGCUUAACUUGGGAACUGCCGUGGAUACUAUCAAUCUUGAAUAUCGUGGAGGUAAGCGGAAUAUGUCAUGUAGCGGUGAAAUGCUUAGAUAUGACAUAGAACACCGAUUGCGUAGGCAGCUUACUACACGAUCUUUGACGCUGAGGCACGAAAGCGUGGGGAGCAAACAGG
RNAcentral lists this ribosomal RNA (253 nucleotides) under uncultured bacterium. RNAcentral's name for it is "partial 16S ribosomal RNA". It matches the Rfam family "Bacterial small subunit ribosomal RNA", at positions 524 to 776 of the family's 1533-position model. The record is from RNAcentral.